CUUGUGCCAGUUUUUGAAGAGAAUCCUUCCUGUUUUUGCCCAUUCAGUAUGAUGCUGGCUGUGGUUUUUUGAGAGUUUUUAACAUGAUGGGCUGUUGAAUUUUGUUGAAGGCCUUUUCUGAGAGAUAAUCCUGUGGUUUUUGUCGUUGGUUCUGUUUAUGUGAUGGAUUACGUUUACUGAUUUGCGUAUGUUGAACUAGCUUUGCAUCGCAGGGUAAAGCUGACU
This 225-nucleotide long non-coding RNA is filed under the name Homo sapiens (human). RNAcentral's name for it is "non-protein coding lnc-ATP23-9:1". Lineage: Eukaryota; Metazoa; Chordata; Mammalia; Primates; Hominidae. The record is from RNAcentral.